Molecule: small nucleolar RNA, 106 nt
Filed under: Capsicum annuum
Lineage: Eukaryota; Viridiplantae; Streptophyta; Magnoliopsida; Solanales; Solanaceae
Also listed under: 1 other name
Description: Plant small nucleolar RNA R71
Rfam family: Plant small nucleolar RNA R71
About the family: R71 is a member of the C/D box family of snoRNAs containing the C (UGAUGA) and D (CUGA) box motifs.
Source: Rfam by way of RNAcentral
CUUCAUGGUUCGAGCAUUGCAUGAUUUUGUCAUUGAACCUUUGCCAUAUUUCAUAUAAGGACUCACCACUAAAUUGAUGAAAAUUUGUCAUUUCAUCCCUUAGUUG